Molecule: ribosomal RNA, 394 nt
Filed under: uncultured Diversispora
Lineage: Eukaryota; Fungi; Glomeromycota; Glomeromycetes; Diversisporales; Diversisporaceae
Description: SSU rRNA
Rfam family: Eukaryotic small subunit ribosomal RNA
Source: RNAcentral
AGCAGCCGCGGUAAUUCCAGCUCCAAUAGCGUAUAUUAAAGUUGUUGCAAGUUAAAAAGCUCGUAGUUGAACUUCGGUAAUUUCGCCCAUUGGUCAGGCUUAACUGUCUGCACUGGUGUGACGAGUUCCUACCUUCUGAGGAAUCUCCAUGUCAUUCAGUUGGUGGUGGGGGGAAAUCAGGACUGUUUACUUUAGAAAAAAUUAGAGUAGUUUAAAGCAGGCGUCCGUCUGAAUACAUUAGCAUGGAAUAAUAAAAUAGGACGGUUUGGUUCUAUUUUGUUGGUUUCUAGGAUCACCGUAAUGAUUAAUAGGGAUAGUUGGGGGCAUUAGUAUUCAAUUGUCAGAGGUGAAAUUCUUGGAUUUAUUGAAGACUAACUACUGCGAAAGCAUUUGC